AAAAAAUAAAAUAAAAAGGGUAAUUCAUGUCAUAUUUUAUUAAUGGCUUUUAUUAUUUUUAAUUAAAAUUGAAGUGUUUAUUGAAUUAUAUGUUUGUAAAUGACGAUUUAAUAUUACAAAAUACUACCUAUAGUUUGUACACACCUGCUACCAUUUUAAUGGAUUUCUUUAUUCAGACAUCACAUUAUACAAAGCCUCACACAGUCUUCUUAUUUCCUUGCCUAAUUCUCAAUAUGAGGUGAGUUAAUAAUAAUGGGAUUGGCAAGUGUUGUUUGUGGUCAUUCGUCCACAUGGUCUUUCCUUAAAUAACCCAGCUUAGUUCUUUUUCUCUGUUGGGAAUCUGUUUCCUGAGAAUUCAUGAAUUUCCUUUAGAAGGGAUAUUUCCUGGACUAGGGGCCCCAAUUUCACUUGGAAAAGGUUCUUAAAAGUGCCUUAUAUAUGUACAUCAAAAAUAAUUAUUAUGCAAGUGGUGUUUAUUCAGUGGAGCUGCUGAUAAGCAGAGAAGGGAACAUAUACCUGGGCAGCUGUCAAAAGUUAUUCCCUUUGCUGUUUUGAGGUUUUUGGUACUAUGUGUGCCUCAAUUCAAUCUGUAAACCAAAUAUCUUCCUGAUCCACCAAGCAGAAAUUUAGAGAAAUUUUCUUUUAAUUUUAUGGAUGACCUGUACUGAUUGAAUGGACAUUUUUUUCCCGAGUCUCUCUAGCAAAAUAGAUAACAGGAAUGCAUGUCAAGGUACAAUAUAUAUUUUUAUUAAAAAUUAUUAAGUUUUGAGUUUAUAAUAUGAUUACUUAAUUCAUUCCUAUUUUUUCUUCCUAUAAAUCCUCUGAUUCAUACCUGCUUACUCUUUAAUUUCAUGGUCUUUUUUAACUAUAAGUUGAUGUUACACAUCUGAAACUAUAACUAUUUGCAUAUAUCAUUCCAAGUAAUGAAUUACACCCUUUUUUGUUUGUGCAAUAUAAUUUUAUAUGUUUUCAGGGUGGCCCAUUAUCCAUUUUUGUGUGUGGUUAACAUAUUAAAGUAUUUCUUUUUAAAACUCUUGGAUUAGUUACAUUUUCUCAAGUGUUCUUUGCUUUAGCUCAUAUGGAAGAAAAUUAUUUAGUCCUUUGAGCAUUCCUAUAGACACUUACUUGUCUAAAGUUCACAUGAAACUCUAGCUGGCAUCCAUGUACCUCAGACUUUCAGAAGUAUAUUCUUCAGUUGUUUAGUUGAUAUCAGGACUCCUGUUAUACUUUUCUACUUCCUGAACACUUAGGAAAUUUUCUUUUCUCCAGCAUCAUGUGGCAGAUUAGGAGCCCAUAGAAACACACCAAGUAGCCCCAACUAGAGGGUGCAUAUAGGAAAUUUAUCUCCUUUGCAAUAAAAACUGUACAUCUUAGAAAGUAUUAUAUUUAUUAAUACUUCAGAGUUUAAUUUUAAGAUAUUGGAAGUGCAAAGAAUGCUCCUAUCUUGUUCUUAUUUUUUUAGACAAUGUUAUCAAUACAUGAUUUAUUGUGGUUUAGUAAAUAUUUUAAACAAUUUUAACCAUUACAACUAAAGAAUGACAAGAAUGUAGCACUGUAUUGAUUAGAAGUUUCUGACUAUUCAUGCUUAAACAUUUCUGUUUUAUUUAAAGUCUCUGAUGUUUAGUAUUUUAGUUGUUCAAGAUAAUCUCAGACUGAGUCAAGGAAGGGAGAAGGUUCUCCCCAACUGACAAGAAGUUCUUGCUGAAGAUACAGUCAUAACAACUACCUAGUGGUAAUGUAAAUCUUGGGAUUUAUCCUAUUCUUGAGUGGUUUUUGUAUGUAAAAUUCCAUUUAUAUUUUUAUUUCAUGUGUUAGCAUGUGUGCUUGCCAUACUUUAAAAUCCUUAUAUUAUGUGUAUGUCUUAGUAUUUCUUUAGAAGUCACAGGAUAUUCUCACAUGUAGACAUAGUUAAUGUUUUUAAAGCAUACAAGCACCACCUGUCCAUUUCUCCAGUAAUUGCUCUGAGGACAAUAUCCAGUGAACGCUCUGUGAAAUGGCAUAAACUUGAAUCAUUUCCUGUUUAUCUUUUGGGAAAAUACUGAAGGUUUAGGACUUUAGGUAUUUUCUUCCAUUUAAAUUUAUGAAAUUACAGUUCUACUCCUGAACUGAUUUGUUGAAUCUUUUUUUUUCUUCUCAGAUGAAUCUUUAAUUUUUGAAGUUAACAUGAAAUUUAUUUGUGAGUUCAUUGCUAAAAGAGUUAAGUUUGAUGAAUCGCAUUGCAUUUCCUUAUGAAGCAUGAAGUAGUCAUGUCAUACAUACUUCAUGGAACACAGAUUUCCACCAUGCUUACUGACAUUUAUGGAAGUCCAGUAUUUCUUCUAUCUCCCAAGCCUGCUCAUGGUAAUCUCAGACUCAGGCAUGGAUGAAAUACUUCUCCGCAACUUCUGAGAAGGCUUCAUUGAAGACAUACUCACCAUACCUACCCUGUGGUAUUGUCCUGAUACUUGAGAGGAGAAUUUAAGAUGAGUGAGUGGUUCCCGAGGAGUCCCAAGAUGAAGGAUGGGAAUCAGGACCAGGGAAAGAUUGAAUAAUAUCUGGAUUGAAUCUGACCUGUUUUGGUGGGUUCAGUUCAGCUCCCUGGAACUUAUAGGAGUCCUUAGAGUUUGUGAGAACAUAAGUACAAGAUAUAUUAGCAGGAUAUUUAUGUUAGAUUUGACUUGGCUGAAAGCAUUGACUUUUUAAAAUUACAGAUAUUAUUUAAGACAAUGAAAAGCAUCUUAAUCUUGACAUUGUACUGAUGGUCGUACAGUCGUAUUUUAGAUCUUUAUUGACUAGAACAGUAGCAUGAGAAACGAGAAAUCUGGAACAUAUUAUUUUUAAAGACUCAAACCACUUUAUCAUUAGUUAAGACAUUUAUUCUUAGGCCUUCAUAAUUUUAAUUUAUAUAUCUAACUUUACUAUGUUAGGCCUUCCAUUCCAGACCUUCAUAACUUGCAUUUAACCAGCUUGUGUAGACCUUUCCGUUUUCAGACCUUUGGAACUUACAUUCCCCGACCUUAUACUUUCCUAUUAUCACAUAGAUAGACCUUAAAAUACCUGUUCCUAAAAUACGAUUUGUUUUAAGCUGGCAAUACUACCAGUCAUCAAAAGUAUCAGAAUUCUUGAGAAAGAAAAUAUUUUACUUGAGUUAAUGAUUAAAGAAUAACAGAGACUUGUCAGAGGCUGCAUGGACAGCCACUCCCAAGGUUCCCCAUGGUUGUGGGCUGCAGGACAUUUGAAUUCUUGCUGAUAGCAUCUGACAGGAUUGCAGCGAAG
Non-coding RNA from Cricetulus griseus (Chinese hamster), 3255 nucleotides. The record is from RefSeq and is a predicted model, not a curated record. Lineage: Eukaryota; Metazoa; Chordata; Mammalia; Rodentia; Cricetidae.